GCCGGAGGCUCCGACGUGGCGCUCGCCGAAUUUCUCGGCUUGCACACGCAACCGCUUUCAACCAGAACGUAAUCUUGGCCAGUCAAGGUCACCGGUCCAAGCGGUAUCACCAGAAACAGUCGGCGAUAGAGAAUAUUUUAUCGAUAAAGGGAAAGGAGGAGAGAACGAAGAUUGAAAUUUCUCGGCAGUUUACUUUUGGUAUGCGACAGUUCGUGGCCGGAUAAUCGCGCUGACGCAUACCGGCUCAAAAACGUUCCAAAAGUAGGCUCCGUGUUGGUUAGACCUGUUCGGCCCACUGUGCUACAUUUGAAUCGAUACGACUUACCGGUACAGAUUUACAACGGAUGAGCGAAUUUUGAAACGACAUAUUCAACGACAUUGUCGUAAUGCGAUACUCACUCGCAAACUUCGAACACGACUUGCUGCAAAAGGUCGGGGAACUUCUGCACGAUGGUCACAGGCUGA
Long non-coding RNA from Bombus pyrosoma, 465 nucleotides. RefSeq lists it as uncharacterized. Lineage: Eukaryota; Metazoa; Arthropoda; Insecta; Hymenoptera; Apidae. The record is from RefSeq and is a predicted model, not a curated record. The transcript has 3 exons.